Molecule: long non-coding RNA, 299 nt
Filed under: Numida meleagris (helmeted guineafowl)
Lineage: Eukaryota; Metazoa; Chordata; Aves; Galliformes; Numididae
Description: lncRNA (ENSNMEG00000017763.1)
Source: RNAcentral
GAUACUUCUUUGAGUGUUAUAUCUUCAAAGAGUGGAAUCAGACUUACUUUCUUCUGCCUCCCUGGCUCCACUCCUAAUACACAUUUUGCUCACGUUGCCAGUGUGCAGAUUUGGCUGGGCUGCAAAUGGGGGCUGCACCUAGGAGCACAAGGCAAUUCUCCAGACAGAGCAGCUUCCCAGAAUCCAGGAGGUGCUAGCUUGCUUGAGACUUCUAUAACAGGUUUUCUUCCUGUGAUAACUAACUCCAGUUGCUCAAGAAUCUGACUCACUACAUCGGAUCGACAGUGAGAAUUACAGCA